UACGUAGGGUCCGAGCGUUGUCCGGAAUUAUUGGGCGUAAAGGGCUCGUAGGCGGUUCGUCACGUCGGGAGUGAAAACUCGGGGCUUAACCCCGAGCCUGCUUCCGAUACGGGCAGACUAGAGGUAGGUAGGGGAGAGCGGAACUCCUGGUGUAGCGGUGGAAUGCGCAGAUAUCAGGAAGAACACCGGUGGCGAAGGCGGCUCUCUGGGCCUUACCUGACGCUGAGGAGCGAAAGCGUGGGUAGCGAACAGG
This 253-nucleotide ribosomal RNA is filed under the name uncultured bacterium. RNAcentral describes it as "partial 16S ribosomal RNA". It matches the Rfam family "Bacterial small subunit ribosomal RNA", at positions 524 to 776 of the family's 1533-position model. The record is from RNAcentral.